This 496-nucleotide ribosomal RNA is filed under the name uncultured bacterium. RNAcentral describes it as "partial 16S ribosomal RNA". It matches the Rfam family "Bacterial small subunit ribosomal RNA", at positions 28 to 506 of the family's 1533-position model. The record is from RNAcentral.
GAUGAACGCUGGCGGCGUGCCUAAUACAUGCAAGUCGAGCGAACGGACGAGAAGCUUGCUUCUCUGAUGUUAGCGGCGGACGGGUGAGUAACACGUGGAUAACCUACCUAUAAGACUGGGAUAACUUCGGGAAACCGGAGCUAAUACCGGAUGAUAUUUUGAACCGCAUGGUUCAAAAGUGAAAGACGGUCUUGCUGUCACUUAUAGAUGGAUCCGCGCUGCAUUAGCUAGUUGGUAAGGUAACGGCUUACCAAGGCAACGAUGCAUAGCCGACCUGAGAGGGUGAUCGGCCCCACUGGACCUGAGACACGGUCCAGACUCCUACGGGAGGCAGCAGUAGGGAAUCUUCCGCAAUGGGCGAAAGCCUGACGGAGCAACGCCGCGUGAGUGAUGAAGGUCUUCGGUUCGUAAAACUCUGUUAUUAGGGAAGAACAUAUGUGUAAGUAACUGUGCACAUCUUGCCGGUACCUAAGCAGAAAGCCACGGCUAACUACGU